CCUACGGGAGGCAGCAGUGAGGAAUAUUGGUCAAUGGGCGCGAGCCUGAACCAGCCAAGUAGCGUGAAGGAUGACUGCUCUACGGGUUGUAAACUUCUUUUAUAAAGGAAUAAAGUGAGGCACGUGUGCCUUUUUGUCUGUACUUUAUGAAUAAGGAUCGGCUAACCCCGUGCCAGCAGCCGCGGUAAUACGGAGGAUCCGAGCGUUAUCCGGAUUUAUUGGGUUUAAAGGGAGCGUAGAUGGGUUGGUAAGUCAGUUGUGAAAGUUUGCGGCUCAAUCGUAAAAUUGCAAUUGAAACUGGCAGCCUUGAGUACAGUUGAGGUAGGCGGAAUUCGUGGUGUAGCGGUGAAAUGCGUAGAUAUCACGAAGAACUCCGAUGGCGAAGGCAGCCUGCUAAACUGCCACUGACAUUGAUGCUCGAAAGUGUGGGUAUCAAACAGGAUUAGAUACCCUUGUAGUC
This 460-nucleotide ribosomal RNA is filed under the name uncultured bacterium. RNAcentral's name for it is "partial 16S ribosomal RNA". It matches the Rfam family "Bacterial small subunit ribosomal RNA", at positions 338 to 795 of the family's 1533-position model. The record is from RNAcentral.